This 282-nucleotide ribosomal RNA is filed under the name uncultured bacterium. RNAcentral's name for it is "partial 16S ribosomal RNA". It matches the Rfam family "Bacterial small subunit ribosomal RNA", at positions 28 to 313 of the family's 1533-position model. The record is from RNAcentral.
GACGAACGCUGGCGGCGUGCUUAACACAUGCAAGUCGAGCGGUAAGGCCCUUUCGGGGGUACACGAGCGGCGAACGGGUGAGUAACACGUGGGUGACCUGCCCUCAGCUCUGGGAUAAGCCUGGGAAACUGGGUCUAAUACCGGAUAUGACUUCGCAUCGCAUGGUGUGGGGUGGAAAGUUUUUCGGCUGGGGAUGGGCCCGCGGCCUAUCAGCUUGUUGGUGGGGUGAUGGCCUACCAAGGCGACGACGGGUAGCCGGCCUGAGAGGACGACCAGCCACAC